RNAcentral lists this ribosomal RNA (488 nucleotides) under uncultured bacterium. Its description in RNAcentral is "bacterial SSU rRNA". It matches the Rfam family "Bacterial small subunit ribosomal RNA", at positions 29 to 507 of the family's 1533-position model. The record is from RNAcentral.
AGCGAACGUUUGCGGCGGGCUUAACACAUGCAAGUCGAACGGGCUGUUCCUUCGGGGGCAGUCAGUGGCGCACGGGUGCGUAACACGUAGGUAAUCAACCCUCUGGUUGGGGAUAACACUUCGAAAGGAGUGCUAAUACCCCGGGUAUGGCGCAGCGGUCUUCGGGAUCGCGGCGAGAAAGACCCGCAAGGGUUGCCAGAGGACGAGCCUGCGGCCCAUCAGCUAGUUGGCGAGGUAACGGCUCACCAAGGCGAAGACGGGUAGCUGGUCUGAGAGGAUGAUCAGCCACACUGGAACUGAGACACGGUCCAGACUCCUACGGGAGGCAGCAGUGGGGAAUAUUGCGCAAUGGGCGAAAGCCUGACGCAGCCACGCCGCGUGAGCGAUGAAGGCCUUCGGGUCGUAAAGCUCUGUGGGGAGAGAAGAAUAAAGCCUGUGAAGAGCAGGCCUUGACGGUAUCUCCUUAGCAAGCACCGGCUAACUCCGUG